CCUUAUUAGCUCCAGUACAGUAUGGAAUUGUAAUGCUAUCGAAUAGUUGUAUGAUUUCAUUGGAUAUGUUGUAUGAGUGUUUAGUUUCAUUAAUUUUAUGAACUAUGUCAAUCUCACUGGCAAUGUCAUACUUGAAAUUAGUCUUUUGUUGCUAGAUGAAGCUUCAUUUCCUUCUUGAUGCUCUUAUUGCGUCUAUUUCAUCAGUUAUUGUAUCCUCUUCUUCUUUAGUUGCUAAUUUGAAACCAUUAAACAUUUAAUUGUCUGAGAAAAUAUUGUGAACCCUUUUCUGGUUUAAUCCCAACUGUUAUUUGUAAAUACGUUACCUUCCUAGUGAUUCACUAUGGUUCUAGUCAAUAUCUCACUGCUUCUGAUACCAUCUGUGUGACAUAUGCUUAAUGAAUUUCAAAGGUUUUGGCCUGUGCCCAAUGGUGAGAAGAAGAUGAUACAUAUGGUAGUUCUUUUGCUACUUAGUCUUGUUCUUGUUUACCUUUUUCACCGAGCUCUGAAGAUAUUGAUUGGAAUAGAAGUCAUGGGUAUCACCAUUGUUGAAUUAUGUUACUAAAGUUAUAUUUCUUUCUUUGAAAUAUAUCUUCCUUUAUUGUUGUUAUAGGACUUUUAGGGUAUCUGAAGCUUGAUUAGAGCCUUGGUGACCAUUGUAUCUUUUGCUUUCUCAGUAUAUAAUCUUGUAGUAAAUCAUAGUUUCUUCUUUCAAUGAUGUUAUGUAGGGUUUUAGAAACCUGUGCCUUGGGUUUCAUCGAGACUUAUUGCUGCUUUUGCCCCAUGAUGGAAAACUCAUUUUUGAUUGAAUGGUUCUGGUUUUCUAUUCUUCUCUGGCUUUUGCACUCCACCUCCUUUCACUCUCUCUCUCUCUCUCUCUCUCUCUCUCUCACAGAUGGUCUUUAUACUGGCUGUGUAUUGGAUGGUUUUCCAACACACACACACGCUAUAUCUUUCUAUCUAUAUCUAUAUAGACAUUUCUUUGGUGGUUAGGUGGUGUAUGAAAAGCCAUUGAAGGAUGUGUUUACAGUGAAACUGUACAUGAUGUUGGCAUAGCCAUGAGGUCUGAGGGCUCUUUUUAUGUGCACUUCCAGUGCAUUUUGGAGGCAGAUGUGUUCGGCCAACAGAUGCUAAUUUAGUUCGAAUAGAACUGUAUAAGGAGUUUGUAUUUUUGACUUCUGGCAUUAACAAAUGCCAUGUACAGUGCUGAACUAUAAAUAUGUGUGUGCAUAUUUUUCACUUUCCUUUUCCUUCUAUGAGUGUAUUUUUAGUGAGCAAUCUUAGAGAUACCUUAUAUUUUAUAUUAUGAAUGUAUUUAAGCAGAAUGCAUCAGAGAAAUGCAGACAUGGUGUUUCUGGUUGAUUAAAUCUCUAUUUAUAUGUAUAUUUAAUCUUUGCUGUAUUGAGUCGGGUUUUCUGUGGUUUUAUUUGAUAGUACAUGUGUAUAUUUAUCACCCUUUUUUUCUUCUAUGAGCAUAUUUGGCGUCGAGAUCACAUUCCCUAAACAUGCUUUGAUGUUUAUUGUUAUUAGCCUGCCCUGCCCAAUGAUGAAUACUUGUAUAGGCUUAGAGGUGCCCACGUCAUUGUUAUUAGCCUCCAUCCUCUCUACCAUUUGUUAUCUCUAGUUCUGGCUUUUUCUUCUUUUUCUUUUUCUCACUUCUUUGUCGCAGUCGUUAUUGUUGUUAUUAUUAUUACUAUUAUUUUUAUUAUGAUUUGUUAGUCCUUUUGACUAUUGAUGGCAAUGGCAGUAGAGGAUGUGGAAAGGUUAUCAAUGAAACUAAAUAGUCUCACCAUUGAUGAAGUUCUUAGAACUAUUGACUUCUGACCUCUGAGGGCAUUGCAGAUUCUGUCACUAUAUGAUAUCUGAAGAUGAAAUGAAAUGUUUUGAUUUUCAUUGCUGAAGAGUUUGUUUUUGGGCAUUGACAGGAGAAGUAACAGAAAAUGUACUUGCUUUCUAAUGUCCUAUACUAGGCUAGAGGUGAAUGUUAUCUGUUGAAAUUAAUGCAUGAUCACCCUACAUAUGCUCACCUGUGUAGCAAUGUUGGCAUAUCUGUUUUGUUGCAUCUAAUCUUAUUAUAAUAAUUUUUAUUAAAUUUAUUUUCUUAAAAGUACUUUUUAUUGGAUUUGUUGUCAAUGAGAUCAAACUCUUUCUUGUUCGACCUCAACUAGUAUUUUCUAUGCUCAUUACCUGGUAAUACUUGAGAAAGCAUGUAAUCUCGGUGAUUCAUUUUGGUUCUAUUCAAUCUUUCACUUCUUUUUAUUCCUUAAUCAAUUUCAAAUGCUUUGACAUGUGGCCAAUUAUGAUACGGAGGGUAUUUUGCUUUAUUUGAACUAUAUCCUCCCUUUAAAUUGUUUUUAUAGGCUGUUCAGGGUUUUCGAAGCUCGCUUAGAGCCUUUUCUGACAGUUGUGCUUUUUGCUGGCUCAGUAUAUUCUCUUUUAGUAGAUCAUAGUGCUUUCUCUCGUGAUGUUAUGUAGGAUUUUAGAAAUGUCUUGGUUUCAUCUAGACCUGCUGCCAUUAUUUUGCCCAAUGAUGGAAAACUCAAUUUUGAUUGGAUUGUUCUUGUUUCGAUUCAUCUUUGGCUUUUGCACUCCACCUCCUUUCACUCUCUCUCUCUCUCUCUCUCUCUCUCUCUCUCUUCACCACACAUGUUAUCUCCAUCGGCAAUAUAUUGGGUAAAUUUCCCACACGCAUAUAUAUAUACAUACAUAUAUAGAUUUCUUUGGUGGUCAGGUGGUGUGCUAAAAGCUAUUGAUGAAGAUGAUUACAGUGAAAAGUACAUGAUCUUGACAUAGCUAUGAGUUCUGAGGGCAGUCAUUUUAGUUGCAAUUUAAGAUAGUUGUCAAAGGAAGGUGUCUUUAAUCAUCCCCCAAAAAGAUGGUAAUUUAGUCUGUGUAAUGCGUGUAUAUAUUUGAGCUUCUGGCAUUAAUAAAUGCUGUGUGAAGUGCUGAACUAUAAAGUCGUGCUUGUGUAGUCUAUACCUGUUCCCUCGAUUGUACUUUUCCUUGCAGUGUUAUCUUGCUUAUGCUUGUUUUAUAAAUGUAUCAUAGUCAUUGAAAUUUUUAUUAAUGCAUCCGAGAAAUUGCAAACUUUAGUAUUUAUGGUUGAUAAAUGUCUAUGCGUAAGAGCAUUGUCCAUUCUUUUUAUUUUUCUGUUUCUCUUGUCCUUGUUGCUGGCAUUGGUAGUAGAGGAUUUGGAAAGGUUAUCAAUGAAAUUAAAUAGCACAGCAUCGGUGAUGAAUUGUUUAGAGUUAUGGAAU
This 3254-nucleotide long non-coding RNA is filed under the name Gossypium barbadense (sea-island cotton). RNAcentral's name for it is "long non-coding RNA (GBAR_LNC003987)". The record is from RNAcentral. Lineage: Eukaryota; Viridiplantae; Streptophyta; Magnoliopsida; Malvales; Malvaceae.